AUUGAACGCUGGCGGAAUGCUUUACACAUGCAAGUCGAACGGCAGCACGGGGGCAACCCUGGUGGCGAGUGGCGAACGGGUGAGUAAUACAUCGGAACGUGCCCGGUCGUGGGGGAUAACGUAGCGAAAGUUACGCUAAUACCGCAUACGAUCUGAGGAUGAAAGCGGGGGACCUUCGGGCCUCGCGCGAUCGGAGCGGCCGAUGUCAGAUUAGGUAGUUGGUGGGGUAAAGGCCUACCAAGCCGACGAUCUGUAGCUGGUCUGAGAGGACGACCAGCCACACUGGGACUGAGACACGGCCCAGACUCCUACGGGAGGCAGCAGUGGGGAAUUUUGGACAAUGGGCGCAAGCCUGAUCCAGCCAUUCCGCGUGCAGGACGAAGGCCUUCGGGUUGUAAACUGCUUUUGUAUGGAACGAAAAGGCUCUGGCUAAUACCUGGGGCUCAUGACGGUACCGUAAGAAUAAGCACCGGCUAUCUACGUG
This 484-nucleotide ribosomal RNA is filed under the name uncultured bacterium. RNAcentral describes it as "partial 16S ribosomal RNA". It matches the Rfam family "Bacterial small subunit ribosomal RNA", at positions 30 to 507 of the family's 1533-position model. The record is from RNAcentral.